GAUGAACGCUGGCGGCGUGCCUAAUACAUGCAAGUCGAGCGAACGGACGAGAAGCUUGCUUCUCUGAUGUUAGCGGCGGACGGGUGAGUAACACGUGGAUAACCUACCUAUAAGACUGGGAUAACUUCGGGAAACCGGAGCUAAUACCGGAUAAUAUUUUGAACCGCAUGGUUCAAAAGUGAAAGACGGUCUUGCUGUCACUUAUAGAUGGAUCCGCGCUGCAUUAGCUAGUUGGUAAGGUAACGGCUUACCAAGGCAACGAUGCAUAGCCGACCUGAGAGGGUGAUCGGCCAAACGGGAACUGAGACACGGUCCAGACUACUACGGGAGGCAGCAGUAGGGAAUAUUCCGCAAUGGGCGAAAGCAUGACGGAGCAACGCCGCGUGAGUGAUGAAGGUCUUCGGAUCGUAAAACUCUGUUAUUAGGGAAGAACAUAUGUGUAAGUAACUGUGCACAUCUUGACGGUACCUAAUCAGAAAGCCACGGCUAACUACGUG
This 497-nucleotide ribosomal RNA is filed under the name uncultured bacterium. RNAcentral's name for it is "partial 16S ribosomal RNA". It matches the Rfam family "Bacterial small subunit ribosomal RNA", at positions 28 to 507 of the family's 1533-position model. The record is from RNAcentral.